UAAGUCUCGUGGCCUUAAUACGUCGUUUUAUUGUAGAAUCAACCGCUAAUUCUCUGAAAUUGGGUGUAAAAGUUGAUGAGGUAGGGCUUGAAGGGUGUAAAAAAAAUUCCUCUGCCUUCUCUCUAGGAAGAAGGGUGUAUUGAGUCCAUAUCGCUGUGGGAUCUAUGCACUAUUCAUCGGAAUAGUGAAUUCGGCACUAUUCACAUCGCCGGAAUUCAUUGGUGGAUUGUUACAAUUUUGGCGUCACAGGAUCCCCUUCCUUUUGCGAACAAUCCUUAAUUGAGUUUUUCAUCAAAUCUAUAAUCAAUUCCCCUACAUCUUAAAUCUUACUGUAGCUUCAUCAAUUUCUGAAUUUCCAGUUAUAUUCCAUACUAUUCACAUCGCCAGAAUUCAUUAGUGGAUUGUUACAAUUUUGGCGUCACAAGAUCCCCUUCCUUUUGCGAACAAUCCUUAAUUGAGAUUUUCAUCAAAUCUAUAAUCAAUUCCCCUACAUCUUAAAUCUUAUCUUCGAUUUACUGUAGCUUCAUCAAUUUCUGAAUUUCCAGUUAUAUUCCAUCCCGAUCAUAGAAGGAAUGUUUCUGCUUGAGUUCUGAGUUGUGAAAUGGAAGUGACAACCUCUCCCCAGCCUUGUGCUGUGGAAGAGGUUUUACAAAAUAUAUCGGAAAAUCAAACUGGUUACGGAUCCAAACAGUCAUAUGCUUCGCUUCUUGCUGGACAACAAACUAACGAGACAAAUACAAAGCUGGAUCUGUGCCCAGUUUCUUUCGAUCAUGGAUUGCCGAUUGUUGAGUUCACAAGACAAAUACAAAGCUGGAGCUGUGCCCAGUUUCUUUCGAUCAAGGAUUGCCGGUUGUUGAGUUCACAGUGGAUGAAGUGAAUUCAUUCACAAGGGAGGAAGGUCUUCAACAAGCAGUGAUAAUCAAAUUUGCAUAUGGAAAGCCAGAACUUCAGGAGCUGAGGCAGAUUUUGCCGAAGCAACUCGGUGUCAAAGGUAGAUGCAACGUCGGACAACUAGAAUAUCGUCAUAUUCUGGUAAGAUUUGAUUUGUUUGAAGAUUAUGCUCAGGUGGUGUCAAGAACUACGGGCUAUGUUAAGGCUAAAGGAGAUGAGUUCUUCUUUAGGACUUUCCCAUGGACAAUGGGAUUUAAUCCGCGAGAAGAAACUUCAAAAGCUGUGGUUUGGAUCUCUUUUCCCGAUCUGCCAGCAAAUCUCUUCGCCAAAAAAGUUAAUCCGCGAGAAUAAACUUCAAAAGCUGUGGUUUGGAUCUCCUUUCCCGAUCUGUCAGCAAAUCUGUUCGCCAAAAAAUCGUUAUUGUCCAUCACAUAGGCAGUGGGAAAGCCUAUUGCAGUAGAUAAAGCUACUAAAGAUCGAAUGCGACCUAGUAUGGCAAGAGUUAAAGUCUUGAUCAAUUUACUGGACAAACAUCCAUCGCAAAUUAAGAUCAAAUUCCCCAGCCUUGUGCUGUGGGAGAGGUUUUACAAAAUAUAUUGGAAAAUCAAACUGGUUACGGAUCCAAACAGUCAUAUGCUUCGCUUCUUGCUGGACAGCAAACUAACGUGACAAAUACAAAGCUGGAUCUGUGCCCAGUUUCUUUCGAU
This 1598-nucleotide long non-coding RNA is filed under the name Nicotiana benthamiana. Its description in RNAcentral is "long non-coding RNA (NBEN_LNC005469)". Lineage: Eukaryota; Viridiplantae; Streptophyta; Magnoliopsida; Solanales; Solanaceae. The record is from RNAcentral.